RNAcentral lists this ribosomal RNA (504 nucleotides) under Triticum aestivum (bread wheat). Its description in RNAcentral is "partial small subunit ribosomal RNA". The record is from RNAcentral. Lineage: Eukaryota; Viridiplantae; Streptophyta; Magnoliopsida; Poales; Poaceae.
AUGGAAAAGUCAGAGGAUGGAGGAAAGGCAUCACAGGGAUUCAACGCAGAAGGGGCUAGUGAAUUGCUAGAUCGGUUGGCUUUGCAAGAUGACGAGCUUGACGAUCUGGUCUGGGAGGAUGAAGUUGAUUCGGAGGAAGUGAGACCAAAGUGGCUGGCCCUCGGGCGGCUCCUGACAACGUAAUCCUUCAGCCAAAGCGCGCUCAUUGGAGAUAUGAGAGCUGCGUGGAAUCUGGCACAACAGGUAGUAUGGAGGAGGAUAAACCCUAAUCUAUUCUCGAUUCAGUUCAAUUGUCUGGGUGAUUGGAACAAAGCCAUGCACAAGGGUCCAUGGGACUUCAAAGGUUAUGCACUAAUCCUCGCUGUGUAUGAUGGCUUUUCUAAGCCUGAAAAGAUUAAGCUAGAUAGGCUGGAAACAUGGGCGCGGAUCCAUAAACUCCUUGAUGGGAUUCUAAAGAAUGAGAACUUUCUGAGAAACUUGGCAAGGCGUAUCGGCGAGGUCUAG